GUCGCAUGGGCACACACACUAAAAACACAAACAUACAGCACGCCACCACCUUGCCAUUGAAACGCCAUAGCAAUUACUGCAAUCAAAGCAUCUUAACAAGUCCUGUUGAUAGCUGAUAAGCGUUUUUGUUUUUUUUUUUAAACACACACACACUGCAGACACAUACUUAUUCUGGGAAAAUGACGCACAACCAAACUGCUCUCCUUGGUCUUAUCAGUCUUUAGGGAAGUAAACAAACAUAGUCCUGUGAAAAAGCUAUUAUUUGGUCCAAAUCAUCUGAUGUCGUCAGCUCCCGAACAAAUUGGUAAUUCGACUUUUGACUUUGAAUCUUCUCCAAGUCAUCUGAAAAGUUGCUCCUCAUCCAUUCUGAGCAGGCGUGGGCACAAUUUCAUUCAUAGCUCAGCACCUCAGUAAGCGAGAAAUCAAUGGAAGCGGACCCGAAACAUUCCCAGAGAUGGCCCUUUUUCUCUUGGAUUUGGGAUCAGACGUCUCGUGGACACUGCUGGCACGGGUGUGCAUUAAAGCUUCAUCGAAUGGAAUGGGUUCUGUUAUGGUGAGUUAGUGUCAAAGACCAAGGGGUCAGUUUGUUCAAGAACAACAAUAGCUAACAAGCUAGUCCUCAAAAGCCCCAUUUGCAUCGAUAGACUUUGCCCCAUCCCGCCACCCCAGCAGAGGUCGUGGGUUAGAUCCCAGCUCCGGCCUUCCUGUGUGGAGUUUGAAUGUUCUCCUCGGGCCUGCGUGGGUUUUCUCCGGGUGCUUCAGUUUCCUCCCACAUUCGAAAAAACAUACAUGGCAGGCUGAUUGAACGCUCACAAUUGUCCCUAGGUGUGAGUGUGAGCGCGGAUGGUUGUUUGUCUCUAUGUGCCCUGCGAUUGGCUGGCAACCGUUUCAGGGUGUCCCCCGCCUAUUGCCCGACGACGACUGGGAUAGGCUCCAGCACCCCCCCCCCCCCCCCCGAAUAUGGAUGGAUGGAUGGAUGGACAUUUCGCCCCCUUCUUUGGAUUAUAUUUUUGCCUCUGCUAUGUGAAGAAGUGAUCAGAUAGUGAAACAGCUCCCUCUAGUGUACAUUCACUCGCUGCUGUAUUAUUCUUAACUUUUGUGAAAGAGUUUAGGGGGUAACUAUCACAUUGCUCAGAAGAAAUAAAAUCACUACAUUGUCUAAUCGUGAGAUUGAUAAGCCACCAGUCCAGGGAGUAGUAGACACAAGUCAGUGACAAGCAGAAAAUGUAUGUAUGUAUGGAUGGGAUUGUUGAUUUACCAAUGGUGAUGUGGUGAAUAUGCAUCGGGAAAAUUAUUGCACCUGUCUGGUAACAUUCACUUUACGAUUUACAUUCUUAUCUCUUACAAAGUCAAUUUAUUGUCACGUCAGUUCAAUUGAUAAUCUUUUGGAUACCUUACAGCCUCGGCCACAUCGUUUGAAGUGUGUCCAGACAAAGCGUCGUGCAGAUUCCGAAUGAAGUAAUCCCUGUACUCUUCAGACAGAGCCAUGAAGGUCCCGCCCAUCACAAUGAACUCCACCUUAUCCACACUGUGGCCCAGCUGCUUGAGCUGCAGAUCACACCAAAUACACAGAUGUUGAUGCCAAUGGUUGUGUUUGGUGAAUUGGAAACGGAUCAAUAAGCUUAAUUAGAAGGAAAAUUGCCAGGCAUGUUGAUGUAGUUGUGUGCUGAUGCUGUGCAUAGUGCGAAAAUAAAGUUAUGGCACGCGUGUUUAUUGACAUGCUCUCAUUGGCCAGUGGUAUCAACCGCCAUGCUGAAAGGAUUCGACUGACCUGCUCCACGCGAUGUCUGGUCUGUAGGUAGGGAUCAUAUCGCGCUCGAAUGGCUCUCAUUGAGGUGGGCUAUGACAAAAAAAAAAACAACAACAGGUGGAAGGGCUUUUAAUGACUUUUUUCCCCAUUUAUUAUUAUUUUUAAUCCCUUCCCUUUCAGAAAGAGCAAAUGGCAAAGUGACACCCCCCCCAGAAUCCUGCCGACUGCUGUCAGGCACUUCUGUGCAUACGCACAAAUGAUAAAUGAGUCACAUGGUCUUCAGCAGUUUACGUACCGAUACAUAAAAUAUAAAUGGUUGAGGCCAUUGCUGUAGAAGAGGAAAUAUGCGAGUCUGAAAAACGUUACCUCAUAACCGGUGUAAGACUGUGUGGAGUAUUCAAAGUCUGAGUCCGGCCCACCAGGGCAGUAUCUACAAACAUGAGCAUGACAGAACAUGAUGUACCUACGCCUGUGUUCUUAGAAAAACAUCAUGGGUAUUUUGAAGUAAAUACAACCGAUUCUGUACACAAUAGUAUCAUUGACAGCAAAAAAAGUGAUUGGCCCUUUUCUGCUUAUUUUUCUUGAUAUUUGUGUUAAGACACAAAAAAUUGCACAGACAAUUCAACUUGUUUGUGGACGUAAGAAUAAUUACAUUUGAGGGCAGCUGUCACUUACACACAAAUAUUGCCUGUGAAGCUGAUGUGUGGACAUCUAUGUGGUUUACACAUCACAGCGACAACUGCAAUCUGUAACAAGAGACGGGGGGGGGGGGGGGCACCACUUUUCUACAUAUCAUGAGGAAUCAAAUUUUACACAUGAUAUAAUAGUAAUGUGAGGGCACUGUCAACAAUGUUUGUUACAUUUCAGAGAGCUACUUACCCCACUGGCAGUGCGGAUUGGUUUGGCCUUUAGUUUGGGUACCAAAGCACGGCGGUAUUGUGGAGGAACAGCGGCUAUAAUAUCCACCAAGCGAGGCUGAGCCUCCAGGCCAUAUUUAGCGGAGGUCUUUGUUUUCAGUCUAUUAGAAAAUAAUUGAGAAGUGUGAAUACAGUAGCUGCAAUAGGGAACAACUGGGGUUAUUUGUUGGAAGUGUAUUUUAACAUUAUAUUAGUUGAGAAUUCAUGAUCAUGGGCUACCUGGCAUUUUUCCAAUACUAAUGUCCACUGACAUGGAGACUUGCUCUACUUGGCCAUUUUAAUUCAGUCGUUACAAAGGUAAUAAAGCUUUGAUUAACUCUCUCAGAGAAGUAUCAAUCUAACAAAGGGUUUGUUAUUGUCGUUGUAGUUUGCAGUGGCAUAGAACCAUCCUAUAUUUCUCUGAAGAGCCUUUUCUCAUGCUUUGAUGACCUGAUUUUUUCCAAUAGAAAACACAAUCGGAACUCUUCUCUGCACUGUGUGAGCCGUACUUCCAUUUGUUAUUACAGCGUAAGGAUUGUUUAAUAUAGUUUACUGCUUAACCUCUUUGCCCAGACAUCAAAAUACAAUAUGUGAAGUGUCUCAGUGCUUGUUCCAUACUUGUUGAGGUUGAUGUCUUUUCCCUCUUCGUGUGCUUCAACCAGCUGUUUGAUGACAUCGGCGAUUGUCAUCAUCAUCAGUUCAGCUCGACUGAGGUCACCUGUCAUAAAGAAAUAUGAAAAUGUACAAACUACUUACAAAUUGAGAGGAACAACUACACAAGAGAAAUGACUUUCGUUAGCAUUAGCAAUGAGCUCCGGGAGCCUGUCACUUUGACGAAAACUUACUCUUUUUCUUUGGCUUCCCCAUUCCUCUGUAUCUGUUAUCCGCCUAAAUUCAACUGUGAUAAAGAACUUUACAGACGCACAGUGACCAAACUUGUCGGCAAAAA
This is a long non-coding RNA of Hippocampus zosterae (dwarf seahorse), 3595 nucleotides long. RefSeq lists it as uncharacterized. The transcript has 2 exons. Lineage: Eukaryota; Metazoa; Chordata; Actinopteri; Syngnathiformes; Syngnathidae. The record is from RefSeq and is a predicted model, not a curated record.